GAUGAACGCUAGCGACAGGCCUAACACAUGCAAGUCGAGGGGCAUCGGGACGUAGCAAUACGUUGCCGGCGACCGGCGGAUGGGUGAGUUAACGCGUAUGCAACCUACCCGUAGCAGGGGGAUAGCCCGUUGAAAGACGGAUUAAUACCCCGUAACACAGGGGCUCCGCAUGGAGAUUAUUGUUAAAGGGUCAUUUCUUUUUCAGGGAUGGUCCGGCUGCGGAUGGGCAUGCGUUCCAUUAGGUAGUUGGUGUAGGUAACUGCUCACCAAGCCGACGAUGGAUAGGGGAACUGAGGGGUUGGUCCCCCACACUGGUACUGAGACACGGACCAGACUCCUACGGGAGGCAGCAGUGAGGAAUUUUGGUCAAUGGACGCAAGUCUGAACCAGCCAUGUCGCGUGAAGGAGGACGGCCCUAAGGGUUGUAAACUUCUUUUGCAGUGGAAUAAAGUUUGCCACGUGUUGGCGAUUUGCAAGUACGCUGCGAAUAAGGAUCGGCUAACUCCGUG
Molecule: ribosomal RNA, 509 nt
Filed under: uncultured bacterium
Lineage: Bacteria
Description: bacterial SSU rRNA
Rfam family: Bacterial small subunit ribosomal RNA
Source: RNAcentral